This is an RNA transcript of Nycticebus coucang (slow loris), 1597 nucleotides long. It is a transcript of the gene named non-structural maintenance of chromosomes element 4 homolog A-like, with no coding region annotated. Lineage: Eukaryota; Metazoa; Chordata; Mammalia; Primates; Lorisidae. The record is from RefSeq and is a predicted model, not a curated record. The transcript has 3 exons.
AUGUAUCUUGUCAUCUACCUGCUGACAGACCUGUUGGCCCAAGGACAGCUCAGUGCCAAGAGGGAAAGGAAAACAGUAAAAACUCAGAACAGGGAAGCCAGUAGGCGGGUGACGCGACAGGACCCCGUGAGCCUUGUCGCUGCUACUAUUGCUCUUCCCGCUUCUCCAGCAGCGCAGAAAGGCAGACGACGCGAUGGAAUCCGGUUGCAACGUCUGCGUUUAGCACAAACCUCAGGGAACAGGCACAGAAAGUCGACAUCGGUCUUGGUUCCCGUGGUUUCCAUCUGGGCAAGGACAUCCCCAGCUGCAGGGGGUAAGCAGACGGCUCGUGCUCAGCAGACUAGACGGCCCACGGGACAGAGGUUCCUACUAGCUGUUCUCAGGAACACGCACAUAGGGCCCGGGCGUUCGCAUGGGUUUGCUUCCGAUCUGCCCGCGUCGCCACCGCCCUUACUCGUCCCGCCGGCUCUGGAAACUUCCCAGAAGCCACGCAGAGUCUACGAGGCAAGUCGCCCGGACUGGCAGCCACCAGGGCAACCGGGGACGACCCCGCCUUGUGCUUGGUCCGUAAGCGGCCCCCUGCUAAGUGUGCGCAUUCCUGAAAGACAACAGUAUAGGUGCCGCCAGAUCCGCCAUCAGUACCGGGCGCUCAUCAACUAGGUCCAACAAAACCGGGAGGACAUACUGAAUGCCAGCGACAAAUUAACAGAGGUCCUUGAAGAGGCCAACACUUUGUUCAAUGGAGUGUCCCGAGCACGAGAAGCAGUCCUGGAUGCCCACUUUCUUGUUUUGGCUUCGGAUUUGGGCAAAGAGAAAGCAAAGCAGCUGCGCUCUGAUCUGAACUCCUUUGAUAUGUUGAGAUAAUGUUGAAACUCUACUGACCCAUAUGGGUGUAAAUCCGCUAGAAGCUGAAGAACUCAUCCGUGAUGAAGAUAGUUCUCAUUUUGAAUUCAUUGUCUAUGACUCCUGGAAAAUAUCAGGCAAAACAGCAGAAAACACCUUUAAUAAAACCCAUACAUUCCACUUUCUGUUGGGUUCAAUACACGGAGAGUUUCCUGCGCCAAAGCCACGAAUUGAUCGUCCAAGAAAAGUUCGUAUGAUAGAAGAGCAGAGGGCAAUGCCUGCCCAGUUAAGAAGAAUGGAAGAGUCUCAUCAGGAAGCAACAGAGAAAGAAGUAGAAAGAAUCUUGGGAUUGUUGCAAACAUAUUUUCGAGAAGAUCAAAACAUCUUUCAUGUUUCCUUCAUUAUACGGGAUGGUUUUGCAAGAAUAAGACUUGAUCAAGACCGACUGCCAAUAAUAGAGCCUGUUAAUAUUAAUGAAGAAAAUGAGGGAAUUGACCAAAACACGCAAGUUAGGAAUCAAGGAAUUAUAGCUCUGAGUUACCGUGACUGGGAGGAAAUUGUGAAGACCUUUGAGAUUUCAGAGCCUGUGAUUACUUCAAGUCAGAGCCAGUAGCGGCUUUUCCUUGAUGCCAGCUGAAGGUCUCAGGUGGAUAGUGAAAUCCAAGAAGGAAAGCAGCAUGGAUUGUAUAUAUUGUAUGAUUCAACUUUUUUAAAGACAGAUUGUUUUUAGUAAAAUGUAGCUUUUGAUAGUUAA